This 70-nucleotide transfer RNA is filed under the name Myotis brandtii (Brandt's bat). It matches the Rfam family "tRNA". Rfam says of the family: Transfer RNA (tRNA) molecules are approximately 80 nucleotides in length. Their secondary structure includes four short double-helical elements and three loops (D, anti-codon, and T loops). Lineage: Eukaryota; Metazoa; Chordata; Mammalia; Chiroptera; Vespertilionidae. The record is from Rfam by way of RNAcentral.
CCUGGUUUGGCUCAGUGGAUAGAGCGUCAGCCUGCAGACUGAAGGGCCCAGGUUCGAUUCCAGGUCAGGG